AUUGAACGCUGGCGGCAGGCCUAACACAUGCAAGUCGAGCGGUAGAGAGGUGCUUGCACCUCUUGAGAGCGGCGGACGGGUGAGUAAUGCCUAGGAAUCUGCCUGGUAGUGGGGGAUAACGCUCGGAAACGGACGCUAAUACCGCAUACGUCCUACGGGAGAAAGCAGGGGACCUUCGGGCCUUGCGCUAACAGAUGAGC
This 200-nucleotide ribosomal RNA is filed under the name uncultured bacterium. Its description in RNAcentral is "partial 16S ribosomal RNA". It matches the Rfam family "Bacterial small subunit ribosomal RNA", at positions 30 to 230 of the family's 1533-position model. The record is from RNAcentral.